RNAcentral lists this ribosomal RNA (442 nucleotides) under uncultured bacterium. RNAcentral describes it as "partial 16S ribosomal RNA". It matches the Rfam family "Bacterial small subunit ribosomal RNA", at positions 338 to 795 of the family's 1533-position model. The record is from RNAcentral.
CCUACGGGGGGCAGCAGUAGGGAAUCUUUCACAAUGGGCGAAAGCCUGAUGCAGCAACGCCGCGUGAAGGAAGAAGGCCUUCGGGUUGUAAACCGCUUUUAUAAGGGAGGAAAAUGAUGGUACCUUAUGAAUAAGGCUCGGCUAACUACGUGCCAGCAGCCGCGGUCAUACGUAGGAUGCGAGCAUUAUCCGGAUUUACUGGGUGUAAAGAGUGGGGUAGGUGGGAUAAUAAGUAGCUGGUGAAAACUGGUGGUUCAACCAUUCAGACUACUAUCGAAACUGUUAAGCUCGAGACCAGUAGAGGUAACUGGAAUUACUAGUGUAGGGGUGAAAUGCGUAGAUAUUAGGAAGAACACCGAUAGCGAAGGCAGGUUACUGGAACGUUACUGACGCUGAGGCACGAAAGCGUAGGGAGCAAACAGGAUUAGAUACCCGAGUAGUC